This 254-nucleotide unclassified non-coding RNA is filed under the name uncultured fungus. RNAcentral's name for it is "sequence contains ITS1, 5.8S rRNA gene". The stretch from base 206 to 254 matches the Rfam family "5.8S ribosomal RNA", at positions 1 to 49 of the family's 154-position model. Lineage: Eukaryota; Fungi. The record is from RNAcentral.
UUUCCGUAGGUGAACCUGCGGAAGGAUCAUUAAUGAAUUGAAAGGGAGUUGAUGCUGGCCAGGUCUCUGGCAUGUGCUCGCUUCCGACAAUCUUAUCCAUACACCUGUGCACACUGUGAGGGCAUGCAAGUGCCCUUAUUUACUACAUACACCUAAUAUGGAAAUCGCACGUGACUUGCGUCGUAUGGCGCUUAAAACUAAAAACAACUUUUAACAACGGAUCUCUUGGCUCUCGCAUCGAUGAAGAACGCAGC